Molecule: long non-coding RNA, 5444 nt
Filed under: Malus domestica (apple)
Lineage: Eukaryota; Viridiplantae; Streptophyta; Magnoliopsida; Rosales; Rosaceae
Description: long non-coding RNA (MDOM_LNC011358)
Source: RNAcentral
CCAGCGGCCGCACCUCCUCUCAUUUUCUCAAAUCCUUCCUCUUUUUUUUUUUGUGCUCCUUUUUCCUUUCCCAGACACGAAUCCUAGCUUCCCAAAAGCUGUCGCCACUCCACCAAACCUCUCAGCCUUCUUGUCUGUGAACAAUAGCAUGCAGACUCAAUAGACACCACCCCCAAACUUAGUCUCGAUCCAGCCCAAAAGGUACUGUACACCGAUUUCCGCUUUCCAUUCUCUUGUCCAGAGUUAUUAGUUACUCGAAAAAAAAAUCCUUGUAAAUCUUCAUGCUUGUGUGUGUUCUAUAUGUAGACUUCGGGAUUCGAGUGAGGCCAAGGGGAAGAUAGUUACUGCGAGGAGCAAAGGCGCACCCACGGAGCUGUUAGUGUAACUUGAAUUUGAUAGAUUUUAUCCGAUGAGGAAGAGCUGAACAGAAAAAAUGAAAACAGAGAUGGAAGAAGCUGAAACAAACGUUUUUCCUUUCUUGUUCUCUUGCAAAAUACUGCAGAGGAAUAUUUUCAAUGCUCCUACAAAAACACAAAGAGCACUAACUCUCCUUUACAUUAAUUGGUGGCCUUAGCUUUAGGACCACACAAGACUCAACUUUUAAUCUUAGUCACUCAUCUAUCUAAUUACAUAGAUCACACAUCACAUGGCUCUCAUGGCCUUACAACUUGUAACUUUACACUUGACAGAUAUGCUCAAGUGAAUACACACAUUAAACUCAACUUAUUUCUAAUACUCAAUCAGCUAGAGACUUAUAAUUCAACACUCCCCUUUAAGUCUUGAGCUGAUUUCACUCCAAGCAUGCUCCUGAGAUAAUUAAACCGAUCUUUAGCCAAAGGUUUUGUGAAAAUAUCUGCCAUCUGUUCUUCUGUGGGACAAUAAAUCAAAUCAAUGAUUCCUUCUUGCAGUGCAUCUUUAAUGAAGUGAUAUCUUCUGUCUAUAUGUUUGGUCUUCUGAUGAAAGACAGAAUUCUUGGUGAUUGCAAUUGCUGAGGUGUUGUCACAAUGUAAUGGAGUUGCUUCAGUUUGAAGUUCCCCAAAAUCUUCUAAGACAAAUCUAAGCCAGAUUGCUUGUGCAGUGGCAUUUGAUGCACUUAUGUACUCUGCUUCUGCAGUGGAUAAUGCCACGCAACUCUGCUUAACUGAAGCCCAAGAAAAAACUCCACUUCCAAACGAAAAAGCAUAUCCAGAUGUACUUCUGCUAUCAUCUAGAGAUCCACUCCAGUCACUGUCGCAAUAGCCAAUCAACAUUGCCUCCUUGCCUUUUGUAUACUCUAAACCAUAAUCUAGAGUUCCUUUGAUGUAUCUGAGCACACGUUUGGCAGUUCCAAAAUGCUUGCUAGUGGGACAGUGCAUAAAUCUGGCAAGCAAACUGGAUGCAUACAUUAUGUCAGGCCUAGUAGCUGUGAGAUAUAGAAGACUCCCCACAAUGCUUCUAUAUAGCUCUUCACUUAUUGCUCCACUUCCAUCAUCUUUAGUUAAUUUCUCAGUUGCCACAAGUGGUGUGAUCACAGAUUUGCACUCAUUCAGACCAAACUUGCUUAGUAAAGAACUUGCAUAAUUUUUCUGAUGGAUGAAAAUGCUAGAAUUGGUCUGAAUUACUCCAAUUCCAAGAAAAUGAUGGAGAAGACCCAAGUCUGUCAUUUCAUAUUUUCUCUUCAUGUCUUCUUUGAAUUCAUCAAGCAUCAGUCUAUCACUUCCAGUAUAAACUAUGUCAUCCACGUAAAUAGAGACAAUCAGAAUGUCUUGUCCCCUUGCUUUGAUGUACAGUGUUGGUUCACUCAAACUUUUCUCAAAACCACACUGUGAGAAGUAUGUAUCGAUUUCUCCAUACCAAGCCCUUGGAGCCUGCUUUAAUCCGUACAAGGCUUUAUGCAAUCGAUAGACUUUAUCUUCCUUUCCCUUGACUACAUAUCCUCAGGCUGAUCCACAUAAACCUCUUCUUCCAAUACACCAUUCAGAAAAGCUGAUUUUACAUCAAGUUGAUAUAAUUUCCAGUUCUUAUGUGCUGCCAAGGCCACAAGGGUCCUGAUAGUAUCCAAUCUUGCCACUGGAGCAUACGUUUCAUUGUAGUCUAGACCUGGCUUUUGAGCAUAACCCUUUGCCACUAAUUUAGCUUUGUUUUUUAAACCUGAUCCAUCAAGAUUCAACUUGGUCUUAUAGACCCAUUUAACUCCAAUAACAGGCUGUUCAGUUGGUCUAUCCACAAGCUUCCAGGUACCAUUCUUCUCAAUCAUAGCUAAUUCAUCUUCCAUUGCCUUUAACCAUGAUUCAUCCUGAGCUGCAUCUGCAUAUCUUUCUGGUUCCAGAAUGCAUGAGUUGCAUUGAGCAAGAACAUCAUUCAAAUUUCUCCAUUUUAGAGGUGAGUGAUCAUAAGCCUCUGAAAUUUGUGCAGACUUAGGAGUGUCACUUUCUUGUUCUUGUGUAUGAAAAGAAGAACUAGGACUGAGAGAACUUCCUUCAAUCACACUCAUCUCAUAUGGAUUCUCACAAACUACAUUCUCAGGUUGAUCCUGAAUGUAAGUUGCAACAGCUGAACUUUGUGAACUUUCUUUCCAAUUCCAGGUCAUAGAUUCAUCAAAAACCACAUCUCUUGACAAGAUUAACUUGUUGGUACAUGGAUCAAAUAUUCUGUAUCCCUUCUCACAUGUAGCAUAACCCACAAAUACACCUUUAACACUCUUAGCAUCUAGCUUCUGUCUUGUCUCAGUAGGUAUAUGAACAUAGCACAGGGAACCAAAAAUCUUGAGAUGUGCAAGACCUGGUUUUCUGCCACUAUAGGCUUCAAAAGGGGUUGUAUUUUCUAGUGCCUUUGUAGGACACCUAUUUAGAAUAUAUACAGCUGUGUGUACAGCUUCAGCCCAAAGAACAUAUGGCAUACCUCUAUCAUGAAGCAUAGUCUUUGCCAUUUCAACCACAGUUCGAUUUUUCCUCUCCACUACUCCAUUCUGUUGAGGAGUAUAAGCCAUGGUGAGUUGCCUUUGAAUGCCCUCAGUUUCACAGAAUUUAGUGAACUCGGAAGAUAAAAAUUCUCCACCCCUGUCACUCCUUAGACUUUUAAUUUUGAAACCACUCUGCAGCUCCACCAUUGACUUGAAUUUUUUGAAGUAAUUGAAUGCAUCAGAUUUGUAUCUGAGAAAAUACACCCAGAUCAUCCUUGUACAGUCAUCAAUGAAUAGCAUGAAAAAUUUGUUUCCAGCCAAUGAUGCAUUCUGCAUAGGACCACAGAGAUCAACAUGUAUAAGUUCCAGAGGACAGCUUGCUCUCCAGGCUUGAUCUUUUGGAAACCAUUCUCUGUGCUGUUUUCCAAAUUGACAUCCUUGCCAUACAUCCUUGGUUGCUUCUAGGUAUGGAAGACCAUGCACCAUAUUCUUCUCACUGAGUUGCUGAAGCCCUCUGAGAUUCAAGUGGCCUAGUCUUCUGUGCCAAAACUGAGUAGAAUGCUCCAAACUAGCCUUCAAAACUAACUGAUUAUUUUUUACCAGAGAAAGAGGAUAGCAUCGAUUUUCCUUCUUCUUAACCUUGAUGAUAAGGUUUUCAAGUGAAGGUCCAUCAUAUAUGCUGCACAAACCUCCUCCAAACACUAGAUAAUAUCCAUGCUCAUCCAUUUGUCCAACACUCAAUAAGUUUUCUUUUAAACCUGGCAGAUGCAUGACUUCCCUGAUAUACCUUUUACCUCUGUUAGUGUCAAUCUGCAAUGAACCCAUUCCAGCCACAUUCACUAACACACCAGUAGGCAUUUGCACCUUUCCAGCAACAUUUGUAUUUAUGUCAACAAGGAGAUCAGCAUUCCCUGUCAUGUGAUUACUACAACCACUGUCAACAUACCAAUUUCCAUUGAUAUUUGUUUCUGAUAUUGCACUAUUAGCAUAGAACAGAUUUCCUGACACUUCCACCUGAUUUACAGAGUUUGCCUUUUGCACAAUCUUCCCUACAGUGCAUUCUCUAGCCCAAUGACCAAACUUAUCAUAAUUAUAACACUUAGGCUUCCCCUUAUAUCGACAUUCACCAAAAUGAUACUUAGAACACACUCUACACUGUGGUUUGACAGUCUCUUGACUCAUUGACUGUGACUGAUAUGGAUUUGGUGCAGGACUAGUGAAAGGUUUCUGUUGGAAUCGAGGUUUCGAAUCCCAUUUCUUUCCCUUAGCAUUCCAAUUCUUCUGGAAUUUUGAUGAGCCAGAUUGAACUCCACUUCUAUUUUGCCCCUUUGGACUUACUGAGAAUGAUGCAAAAGCUUUCUCAGUGGUAUCAACAUUAUGCAAGUCAAAUCGUUGUUCCUGACUCUUCAAAAUCGCAACAACUUCUUGCAGCUCAACAGACUCUAGACACUUUGUGUUUUCUAUAACUAAACAGAUGGAAUCAUAAGGCUUACUUAGACUAAUCAGAACCUUCUGCACAAGUCUCUCAUUAGAAAGGGAUUCACCAAAUGUUCUCAUCUGAUUAAUUAACUCAUUCAAUCUUGUAAGAUAACUAGACAGAGAUUCAUCAUCUCGCAUUCUAGCAUACUCAAAUUCUCUUCUAAGAUUCUGAAGUUUUACGGAUCUAACCUGAUCACCACCAUGAUAUUCUCCAUACAGUAGAUCCCAUGCCACCUUAGCUGAGUCGGCGUUGGCGAUCCUAGGAAAAAUUUGAUCAGAAACCGCAUUUUGUAUAAUACCUAGAGCCUUUGCAUCUUGCAUAUAUGUUGCGACCAUUUUCUCAUCGUCUUCUUCUUCUGAGCUUCCUUCAGCCUUCUUCUUCUUUGACUCUGAGAUCGUAACCCCUUUUUCAACCAAUCUCCAUAACCCAUGAGAUUUGAAAAUCGUCAUCAUCUUAAUCCUCUAGAACUCGUAGUUCUCACCGGAGAAGAUCGGAGUUCUCACCUCAGAACUUCCAGACCCAGCCAUCUCUUAGCUUAGACAAGACGAACACAAAUCAAAAUCGGAAUCUAUGGAGUUUCAGCAACUUCGCUUGAGCCGGAACGAGCUUAAGUGUAGUUCAAAUUCUUCACAGUUUACGCCCAGAUCUCAAAUGAUCAAACCUGGCUCUGAGGCCAUGUUAGUGUAACUUGAAUUUGAUAGAUUUUAUCCGAGGAGGAAGAGCUGAACAGAAAAAAUGAAAACAGAGAUGGAAGAAGCUGAAACGAACGUUUUUCCUUUCUUGUUCUCUCUUGCAAAAUACUGCAGAGGAAUAUUUUCAAUGCUCCUACAAAAACACAAAGAGCACUAACUCUCCUUUACAUUAAUUGGUGGCCUUAGCUUUAGGACCACACAAGACUCAACUUUUAAUCUUAGUCACUCAUCUAUCUAAUUACAUAGAUCACACAUCACAUGGCUCUCAUGGCCUUACAACUUGUAACUUUACACUUGACAGAUAUGCUCAAGUGAAUACACACAUUAAACUCAACUUAUUUCUAAUACUCAAUCAGCUAGAGACUUAUAAUUCAACAGGAGCUUCUGCGCA